ACUCCUACGGGAGGCAGCAGUAAGGAAUAUUGGUCAAUGGGGGCAACCCUGAACCAGCCAUGCCGCGUGCAGGAAGACGGCCCUCUGGGUUGUAAACUGCUUUUAUCCGGGAAUAAACCCCCUUACGUGUAAGGGGCUGAAUGUACCGGAAGAAUAAGGAUCGGCUAACUCCGUGCCAGCAGCCGCGGUAAUACGGAGGAUCCAAGCGUUAUCCGGAUUUAUUGGGUUUAAAGGGUGCGUAGGCGGCCUGUUAAGUCAGGGGUGAAAGACGGUGGCUCAACCAUCGCAGUGCCUUUGAUACUGACGGGCUUGAAUACACUUGAAGUAGGCGGAAUGUGACAAGUAGCGGUGAAAUGCAUAGAUAUGUCACAGAACACCGAUUGCGAAGGCAGCUUACUAAGGUGCAAUUGACGCUGAGGCACGAAAGCGUGGGGAUCAAACAGGAUUAGAUACCCUGGUAGUCCACGCCCUAAACGAUGAAUACUCGAUGUUAGCGAUAUACAGUUAGCGUCUAAGCGAAAGCGUUAAGUAUUCCACCUGGGGAGUACGCCCGCAAGGGUGAAACUCAAAGGAAUUGACGGGGGCCCGCACAAGCGGAGGAGCAUGUGGUUUAAUUCGAUGAUACGCGAGGAACCUUACCCGGGCUUGAAAGUUACUGAAGUAUCCAGA
RNAcentral lists this ribosomal RNA (669 nucleotides) under uncultured bacterium. Its description in RNAcentral is "bacterial SSU rRNA". It matches the Rfam family "Bacterial small subunit ribosomal RNA", at positions 335 to 1004 of the family's 1533-position model. The record is from RNAcentral.